AGGACGAACGCUGGCGGCGUGCUUAACACAUGCAAGUCGAGCGGAAAGGCCCUUCGGGGUACUCGAGCGGCGAACGGGGUGAGUAACACGUGAGUAACCUGCCCCAGACUUUGGGAUAACCCUCGGAAACGGGGGCUAAUACCGGAUAUGACACUUCACCGCAUGGUGUGGGUGUGGUAAAGUUUUUCGGUUUGGGAUGGGCUCGCGGCCUAUCAGCUUGUUGGUGGGUAAUGGCCUACCGAAGGCGAGGUACGGGUAG
RNAcentral lists this ribosomal RNA (259 nucleotides) under uncultured soil bacterium. RNAcentral describes it as "partial 16S ribosomal RNA". It matches the Rfam family "Bacterial small subunit ribosomal RNA", at positions 26 to 286 of the family's 1533-position model. The record is from RNAcentral.